This is a non-coding RNA of Taeniopygia guttata (zebra finch), 569 nucleotides long. Lineage: Eukaryota; Metazoa; Chordata; Aves; Passeriformes; Estrildidae. The record is from RefSeq and is a predicted model, not a curated record.
GGUGCUCAACUCCCACCUUCCCUGUCAGAAAUCCCUCCUGGUUUUCCUGUUGGCUCCACAGCACAUCUUGCAACUCAGGACUAUUAAAGAAGACCUCCUGAAAGUUUUGAUUUUGUACUGUGCAACCUUCUAAAUCAUGUGAAAACUGCCUUGGAUUUGACCUUGGUUUGACCUCUAGAUUCUCUGCUCUUUAGCUGUAAAUGAAGUGAUGCUCAGCUAGAGGAUUCUGCAGAAGCAGUGGAUCCCAUCCAGGUAUGCAAACUCCUGCCUUGUCCUAAGCACCAGAGCUGCAUGACCCAGUAUCCAGUAUAUGACCCAUGUUUCUCCAUCCCUUUCUGAAAUCCUGCCACCCCUAUGGGUUUGCAGUUUGCCAGCUGCACCUGCUUCUGGUCAUGGGUACAGAUGUGGGUUCUGGGAGGAGAUUUCCUGGUGGGACACUUCAUGGGGUGGGGAAGAAGGCAGGGUUUAAAGCAUCUGUCUGCUUUCAAGGAAGUUAUGGUGUUUUCCCCAAAGUGCACUCCAAGCCACAGACACAAGCUGUCACCUUUGCUAUGACUUCUGCUAUUCUC